AGUAACGCGUGGGUAACCUGCCCUUUUGUGGGGGAACAACUUCGAGAAAUCGGAGCUAAUACCGCAUAAUAAUAGAGGAUCGCAUGAUUCUUUAAGGAAAGAUGGCCUCUGAAGAUGCUAUCGCAAAAGGAUGGACCCGCGUCUGAUUAGCUAGUUGGAAGGGUAACGGCCUACCAAGGCAACGAUCAGUAGCCGGCCUGAGGGGGUGAACGGCCACAUUGGGACUGAGACACGGCCCAAACUCCUACGGGAGGCAGCAG
RNAcentral lists this ribosomal RNA (260 nucleotides) under uncultured bacterium. RNAcentral describes it as "partial 16S ribosomal RNA". It matches the Rfam family "Bacterial small subunit ribosomal RNA", at positions 109 to 354 of the family's 1533-position model. The record is from RNAcentral.